This 137-nucleotide ribosomal RNA is filed under the name uncultured eukaryote. RNAcentral's name for it is "partial 18S ribosomal RNA". It matches the Rfam family "Eukaryotic small subunit ribosomal RNA", at positions 1299 to 1458 of the family's 1831-position model. The record is from RNAcentral.
UGGUGGGGUGACUUGUCUGCUUAAUUGCGAUAACGAACGAGACCUUAACCUGCUAAAUAGCCCGCAUUGCUCCGGCAGUGCGCUGGCUUCUUAGAGGGACUUUUGGCUCAAGCCGAAGGAAGUUUGAGGCAAUAACA